GACGAACGCUGGCGGCGUGCUUAACACAUGCAAGUCGAACGGAAAGGCCCUGCUUUUGUGGGGUGCUCGAGUGGCGAACGGGUGAGUAACACGUGAGUAACCUGCCCUUGACUUUGGGAUAACUUCAGGAAACUGGGGCUAAUACCGGAUAGGAGCUCCUGCUGCAUGGUGGGGGUUGGAAAGUUUCGGCGGUUGGGGAUGGACUCGCGGCUUAUCAGCUUGUUGGUGGGGUAGUGGCUUACCAAGGCUUUGACGGGUAGCCGGCCUGAGAGGGUGACCGGCCACAUUGGGCCUGAGAUACGGACCAGACUCCUACGGGAGGCAGCAGUGGGGAAUAUUGCACAAUGGGCGGAAGCCUGAUGCAGCAACGCCGCGUGCGGGAUGACGGACUUCGGGUUGUAAACCGCUUUCGCCUGUGACGAAGCGUGAGUGACGGUAAUGGGUAAAGAAGCACCGGCUAACUACGUG
RNAcentral lists this ribosomal RNA (468 nucleotides) under uncultured bacterium. RNAcentral's name for it is "partial 16S ribosomal RNA". It matches the Rfam family "Bacterial small subunit ribosomal RNA", at positions 28 to 507 of the family's 1533-position model. The record is from RNAcentral.